CUUCUCAUCGAACUCCGCCUUCAAUCGGUUGGCGAGGUCAUCUACCACUCCACCUCUCGCCGAUCGAUCCUCUCCAUCUCCCCCAUCUACAUCCCGUCACCCUCCUCCAUCCCGGCCUCAUCUUCUUACCGAUGUGAACGCUGCCCAAUGCCAACUCCACCACCACCGGCACACCAAGGAAAGGGUUUUCUCCCUCUGGUCAUCACCCAUCGUGCAUCUCCUCCCUCUUCUCAUCUUCCUUCCACAAUAAGCCUUCAAGCUUCCAACAGCAGCUCCACCACAUCUCUUCCAUAUCCGGUCUUCGAUCUACGAGUUCUUGGACUUUCCUAGCUUCGUAUUCCAUCCGGACAGCUAUCUUCUUCAUCCAUCUUCGAUCCAGCAGCCUUCUCUUCUUCGCCAAGUCCGCAGCAAUUCCCUUCACCACCGGACAACUUCAUAUGCACCUUACAGAAAUUGGGUUGUUUCCUUUAUCAUGUUGGAUGUGUGUUGAUGUUUUUUAUUGAAUGCUUGUAUCAAACUUGAUCUUCCUUAAUUAGAUUGAAUGCACUUGGUUUUAAUUGUUUCAUGCACACAACUUGUUUGACAAAAUGUUCUAAUCUUCUAAUUCUUGCAUGUCACGUGUUCGGUAAAAUGUCUCUUUCAAUAAUUAGGUUCAAUUUGACGCAUCUUAGUUUGCUUAACUCUUGCUUUGUAUUGAUCUUUCAAUUGCUAAGUUUUAUGUCUUCAUUUAAAUUCAAUUAGGUUAAGUUAGUGUCUUCAUUUAAAUGCAGUUAGUUUUAUGUCUUCAUUUCUAUGUUUAGUGUUUAUUGUAUUUUAAGUUGUUACAUAUUGCUUCCUUAUAGCCACAAUAUUAUAACUAAUUUGCAGAUGAGAAUGAGGUUAUCUGGAGGCAAUCAAGUUAUCCAAGAAUGACUCGUAAUUAUUUAAUGAGGAUACCAAGAGCAAAUGUUGCAUUAGCCACAACAACCAAGAGCAAAUGUUGCAUUCAAAAGCAUCUUUUAAUCUUUUGAUUAUCUCAACAAAAUUGGUUGGUUCGUUAAUUUGUACAAGAGAAGCAAUUUCUCUCAUG
Long non-coding RNA from Zingiber officinale, 1069 nucleotides. RefSeq lists it as uncharacterized. The transcript is spliced from 3 exons. Lineage: Eukaryota; Viridiplantae; Streptophyta; Magnoliopsida; Zingiberales; Zingiberaceae. The record is from RefSeq and is a predicted model, not a curated record.